RNAcentral lists this ribosomal RNA (261 nucleotides) under Staphylococcus epidermidis. RNAcentral's name for it is "partial 16S ribosomal RNA". It matches the Rfam family "Bacterial small subunit ribosomal RNA", at positions 1106 to 1368 of the family's 1533-position model. Lineage: Bacteria; Bacillati; Bacillota; Bacilli; Caryophanales; Staphylococcaceae. The record is from RNAcentral.
UUAAGUUAGUUGCCAUCAUUAAGUUGGGCACUCUAAGUUGACUGCCGGUGACAAACCGGAGGAAGGUGGGGAUGACGUCAAAUCAUCAUGCCCCUUAUGAUUUGGGCUACACACGUGCUACAAUGGACAAUACAAAGGGCAGCGAAACCGCGAGGUCAAGCAAAUCCCAUAAAGUUGUUCUCAGUUCGGAUUGUAGUCUGCAACUCGACUAUAUGAAGCUGGAAUCGCUAGUAAUCGUAGAUCAGCAUGCUACGGUGAAUA